GCGGUGAAAUGCGUAGAUAUCAGGAGGAACACCGAUGGCGAAGGCAGGUCUCUGGGCUGACACUGACGCUCAUGCACGAAAGCGUGGGGAGCAAACAGGAUUAGAUACCCUGGUAGUCCACGCCCUAAACGAUGUCGACUGGUUGUUGGGGGUUUGACACUCUCAGUAACGAAGCUAACGCGUGAAGUCGACCGCCUGGGGAGUACGGCCGCAAGGUUAAAACUCAAAGGAAUUGACGG
Molecule: ribosomal RNA, 239 nt
Filed under: uncultured bacterium
Lineage: Bacteria
Description: partial 16S ribosomal RNA
Rfam family: Bacterial small subunit ribosomal RNA
Source: RNAcentral